This 253-nucleotide ribosomal RNA is filed under the name uncultured bacterium. RNAcentral's name for it is "partial 16S ribosomal RNA". It matches the Rfam family "Bacterial small subunit ribosomal RNA", at positions 524 to 776 of the family's 1533-position model. The record is from RNAcentral.
UACGGAGGGGGCGAGCGUUAUUCGGAAUUAUUGGGCGUAAAGGGCGCGUAGGCGGCUGUACAAGUCAAAGGUGAAAUCCCUCGGCUCAACUGAGGAACUGCCUUUGAAACUGUACGGCUUGAGGCCGGGAGGGGGUAGCGGAAUUCCCAGUGUAGCGGUGAAAUGCGUAGAUACUGGGAGGAACACCAGUGGCGAAGGCGGCUACCUGGACCGGUUCUGACGCUGAGGCGCGAAAGCUAGGGGAGCAAACAGG